AAUUUGCCCUCCUCUCUUGGGACUAGCAUUAACAUAUUUGCAUUUCAUUCUAGGACAUUAGGCAUUUCAUAUUGCAUAGCAUGUGGUUACAUUGUGCAAGUCAUCCUCCCAAGUCUUGAUCAGAAGAUGAGGAAGUCAGGAAGUGCAAGCCUAGGGUUUAUUGAUUGAUCAUGGCCAUCUGAGGAUUGGGCUGUGAAUUAGGGUUUCAUGAUUUUC
Molecule: long non-coding RNA, 216 nt
Filed under: Lathyrus oleraceus (garden pea)
Lineage: Eukaryota; Viridiplantae; Streptophyta; Magnoliopsida; Fabales; Fabaceae
Description: Pisum sativum (pea) long non-coding RNA (PSAT_LNC012965)
Source: RNAcentral